RNAcentral lists this ribosomal RNA (133 nucleotides) under uncultured bacterium. RNAcentral's name for it is "partial 16S ribosomal RNA". The record is from RNAcentral.
CUCUGAGGGUACAGUCAUGUCCCGAGUCGAUCGGGAUUGUUCUUCCCCUCUAACAGGAGUUUACAACCUUACGGCAUUCAUCCUCCACGCGGCGUUGCUGGGUCAGGCUUUCGCCCAUUGCCCAAUAUUCCUC